GGGUCCAUAGCUCAACGGCAGAGCGCCGGGCUCAUAACCUGUUGGUUGCAGGUUCGAAUCCUGCUGGACCCA
This 72-nucleotide transfer RNA is filed under the name Chloroflexi bacterium OLB13. Its description in RNAcentral is "tRNA-Met". It matches the Rfam family "tRNA". Rfam says of the family: Transfer RNA (tRNA) molecules are approximately 80 nucleotides in length. Their secondary structure includes four short double-helical elements and three loops (D, anti-codon, and T loops). Further hydrogen bonds mediate the characteristic L-shaped molecular structure. tRNAs have two regions of fundamental functional importance: the anti-codon, which is responsible for specific mRNA codon recognition, and the 3' end, to which the tRNAs corresponding amino acid is attached (by aminoacyl-tRNA synthetases). tRNAs cope with the degeneracy of the genetic code in two manners: having more than one tRNA (with a specific anti-codon) for a particular amino acid; and 'wobble' base-pairing, i.e. permitting non-standard base-pairing at the 3rd anti-codon position. Lineage: Bacteria; Bacillati; Chloroflexota. RNAcentral also lists the same sequence under 5 other names. The record is from RNAcentral.